AGAAGCCUUUGUGGGAGAGGA
This 21-nucleotide microRNA is filed under the name Physcomitrium patens. Its description in RNAcentral is "ppt-miR477a-3p". Its record names the gene ppt-miR477a-3p. The record is from miRBase by way of RNAcentral. Lineage: Eukaryota; Viridiplantae; Streptophyta; Bryopsida; Funariales; Funariaceae.